RNAcentral lists this ribosomal RNA (492 nucleotides) under uncultured bacterium. RNAcentral describes it as "partial 16S ribosomal RNA". It matches the Rfam family "Bacterial small subunit ribosomal RNA", at positions 29 to 507 of the family's 1533-position model. The record is from RNAcentral.
AGUGAACGCUGGCGGUAGGCCUAACACAUGCAAGUCGAACGGCAGCACAGUAAGAGCUUGCUCUUACGGGUGGCGAGUGGCGGACGGGUGAGGAAUACAUCGGAAUCUACUUUUUCGUGGGGGAUAACGUAGGGAAACUUACGCUAAUACCGCAUACGACCUACGGGUGAAAGCAGGGGAUCUUCGUACCUUGCGCGAUUGAAUGAGCCGAUGUCGGAUUAGCUAGUUGGCGGGGUAAAGGCCCACCAAGGCGACGAUCCGUAGCUGGUCUGAGAGGAUGAUCAGCCAGACUGGAACUGAGACACGGUCCAGACUCCUACGGGAGGCAGCAGUGGGGAAUAUUGGACAAUGGGGGCAAGCCUGAUCCAGCCAUACCGCGUGGGUGAAGAAGGCCUUCGGGUUGUAAAGCCCUUUUGUUGGGAAAGAAAAGCAGCAGGUUAAUACCCCGCUGUUCUGACGGUACCCAAAGAAUAAGCACCGGCUAACUUCGUG